Molecule: ribosomal RNA, 522 nt
Filed under: uncultured bacterium
Lineage: Bacteria
Description: bacterial SSU rRNA
Rfam family: Bacterial small subunit ribosomal RNA
Source: RNAcentral
AUCGUAAGACCUUGCGCUAUUAGAUGAGCUUGCGUCCGAUUAGCUAUUUGGUGGGGUAAAGGCCUACCAAGGCGACGAUCGGUAACUGGUCUGAGAGGAUGAUCAGUCACACUGGAACUGAGACACGGUCCAGACUCCUACGGGAGGCAGCAGUGGGGAAUAUUGGACAAUGGGGGCAACCCUGAUCCAGCCAUGCCGCGUGUGUGAAGAAGGCCUUCGGGUUGUAAAGCACUUUAAGCGGGGAGGAAGGCCUGAUGGCUAAUAUCCAUCGGGAUUGACGUUACCCGCAGAAUAAGCACCGGCAAACUUCGUGCCAGCAGCCGCGGUAAUACGAAGGGUGCGAGCGUUAAUCGGAAUUACUGGGCGUAAAGCGCGCGUAGGUGGUUAAGUAAGCGAUCUGUGAAAGCCCCGGGCUUAACCUGGGAACUGCAGGUCGAACUGCUUGGCUAGAGUAUGGUAGAGGGGUGUGGAAUUUCCUGUGUAGCGGUGAAAUGCGUAGAUAUAGGAAGGAACAUCAGUGGC